This 466-nucleotide ribosomal RNA is filed under the name uncultured bacterium. RNAcentral describes it as "partial 16S ribosomal RNA". It matches the Rfam family "Bacterial small subunit ribosomal RNA", at positions 28 to 507 of the family's 1533-position model. The record is from RNAcentral.
GACGAACGCUGGCGGCGUGCUUAACACAUGCAAGUCGAACGGAAAGGCCCUGCUUGCAGGGUACUCGAGUGGCGAACGGGUGAGUAACACGUGGGUGAUCUGCCCUGCACUUCGGGAUAAGCUUGGGAAACUGGGUCUAAUACCGGAUAGGAGCCAUCUUUAGUGUGGUGGUUGGAAAGUUUUUUCGGUGUAGGAUGAGCUCGCGGCCUAUCAGCUUGUUGGUGGGGUAAUGGCCUACCAAGGCGGCGACGGGUAGCCGGCCUGAGAGGGUGUACGGCCACAUUGGGACUGAGAUACGGCCCAGACACCUCCGGGAGGCAGCAGUGGGGAAUAUUGCACAAUGGGCGCAAGCCUGAUGCAGCGACGCCGCGUGGGGGAUGAAGGCCUUAGGGUUGUAAACUCCUUUCGCUAGGGACGAAGCGUUGUUGUGACGGUACCUAGAUAAGAAGCACCGGCUAACUACGUG